UAACCAAAUAUUUACGGCCAGCAUUAUUAUCGUCCUAUUAUAAUAAAUUCGAUUAAAAGCCGACAAAUUUGUAAUAUUAAUAAUUUGGUUUGCCCGCGAACGAAUAUCCAAACGUUACUGGGAUUUUAUUAAAUGCAAAUUAUUUAAAACGAUAAUAUUAUCGGCAAUCGUUAAAUGGUCGGUAUUUAUAAAAAGCGUAAACAAUUAUUCGAUAUUAAAUUUGAAAAGGCUCCGGGAACCGCCCCCGAAUUCGUUAGGACUUUCUUUAUUACCGACGACAAUUUUACCGGUUCGACGAAAUACGAAAUAAAAGAAAUAAUAAUAGGCCCGAAACCAAUCGUCGAUAUAAAAACCACUAUAUAUAUAAGGUCCCGGAUUCGCGGGUUUGAACCUCAAAUUUCCAUAUUGGAAAUUAAAACCGGUUAUUAUUUUCCGUAAAUAAAAUAAUAUAAUGGUAAAAAUAGUGGGGAUUAUAGCAGGUUUAAAUUUGUCGGUAAAAGUUUUCAAACCAGGGAGGUUAAUAUCGCCCUGGCGAAUAAGAGGCGGGAUGGUAGGUAAUCGACGUCGAAUGGCCAAAUUUUUGAAAAUUAAUAUAAUACCCCUAUCUCGGAACAUAUUGGGUAUAGAAACCAAGGUUUUUUGCCAAACGGGCAUUUUGUUGCCCGGGAUCGAUUUGCCGGGAUUACCGGCUUUAAAAUACGCCAAAAACCCGAAUACGUCCGCCAUUAAUAAAAUUUGUUAAAAAAGAGAAAUGUUAAUCGUUAUUACAAAUUAAAAAAACGUUUGAAAAAGUUAUAUUAUAAUAAUUGUUAUAAUUUGGGGUUAGAUGCAGGAAUUGUAAUUAUUAUUACAAUUUAUAAAAAAAAUGGAAAAAACAUUUACCUAAAAUAUUAAUAUAUUAUACCAGGGCAUUAAUCGAUUCGUAACCGAGGACGAUUAUAAUAUCGCUGGUAUUUAACGAAUUACUGUUAAAAUGGUAGGCCAAAAUCUGGCCGUUAAUUCGUAUUUUCGCCGCGGCGACCCCGGCUAUCGAUUAAAUGCGCUCGGAUAUUUGGGCGAUAAUUGGUAUAUCCGUAUAGCGAAAAAUAUAUUUCCAAUUCCAAACUAUGCGGGGGAUAUACCGUUAUUAUCGACGUUAAAACAAUUAACGUAACCCAAAUGGGGAAAAAUCCGAACCAUUUUGGCGAUAUUUGUAUUCCCUGCCCUGUACCAGGUUUUGGAUAUUAUUUAUAUUAAUAUUUCGCCUUUAUCCAUUUAAAAAUCUUUCCAGGACGGGGCGGGCAGGCGGUCCAAUAAAUUUAUAUCCCGGUGCGAUAGGAAAUAAUAUUUGGGUUAAAUAUAAUUUACCGGUCCGUCGUUAGGGGUAAUAUUAGGUUUGUGGUCCGGUCUGGGGACCUUUAUAAACCUAAUUUUGGCGGGGCGAACGACGGGGGCUGUGGCAGGUAUUAAUGGCGGCGGGGGAGGCGGCGGGAAAAGCGACGAAAAUUCGUGGCGCACGUUAUUUAUUAUAAUAUCGCUAUCGCCGUUGGGACGUUUAUUAACCAUAUUAUUAACGGUAUUAUUUUGGCCGGAUUUCUUAUUAUAAAUAAUAAUAAUAUUUCCCUCGGCGUUUUUAUUAUAAAUUUUUCCUAUUAUAUUUUCCUCGCCAAAUACGGGGAUAGGGGGCAAAUUAAAAGUAAUAUUUGUCGCGUUUGCGUAAUUUUAUAAUUGCUGGCGGUUUUUACGUAAUUGGUAAAACUCGAUUUUAUUAAACGGGCCGGGUCUGAAUUUUUCAAAUCUUUAUUAAAUUAUUUAAAUAUUUUGGUGCGGGCAAUUUUUUGCGGUAUAAUUAUAAAAUUGGUAGGGAGUUCCGCGUUGGGGGGUAUAUAUCCCAAAGUAAAAUUUGACGGUGCGACAGCCCUUUUGGUUUUUUUUUUAUUUUUUUUCCCAGGUAUCGCGAUUUGCGAUUACAAUUAUAAUUAUUAUUACAAUUUGGGGUUAAAUGCAGGAAUUAUAACUAUUAUUACAAUUGGGUUAAAUUAGCUGCCCGUGGUUAACCGAAUCGGGGAUAUGGUUAUAUCGCGUAUACGCUAAUAGGGACUUACCUUUUCCGCGAAUCGGAUGGUCCAAUUAAAUAAAUUCUAAUAUAAUACCUAAUAAGUAAAAUUGAAAAUUUAUAUGGUAAUUUUUCGGAUUGUGACAAUUAUUACGAUUUGUGGUCAAAUUAACCGUUCGUUUAAUCGUUAUAAUUUAACCGCAAAAAUUACAAUAUCGGAAUAAAAAUUAAUAGGAAAUUGGUAAUUAUAAAAGAAGAAAAAAGCCGUCGAGGGACAAAAAGGAGAUAUUUAUAAUUGGGUCGUAAUAUGGGGCGACCUGCAAUUUAAAUAAUAAAAUCGGUGGGGUGGUGGGUUAGGUAAAUUAUAGGCGUAACAGUUAUUAUAAUAUGCAAUAAUAAGGCGUUUUGGUUAUUUUAGGGUUUACCAUUAUAAUUAUAAGGCGGGAUUCCUGGUUAAACGUGGUUUAAUUCGUGGUUUGGAACGUUAAUUGUUCUCCGUAUAUAAAAUUUGCGACAACUGCGGUCGUUUUGGUAGGUUUAAUUGGUCGAAGCGCCAUUGGCUAACAAGGAAUAUAUAUAGGGUUCGGUUUAUCUUGCGAUAUAUUUGGGUUUAUUUUAAACGUUAAAAUGGGGUAAAUUGUCUGAAUUUAAUCCCUUAAUUUUAAAGAUUAUCGUGGUUAACCGCAGCCGCCAAAAUAUUUUAAAAAAAAUAAAAAUAUUAUUUAGGGGUGCAAUUCGUCGCUAUUAGGUUAUUUGUUAACCAGCGCCUUUGCAGCGGGUGGAACAAAUAAUCCGACGGCGACGUUAUAUAUAACCGUUGCUCCAAUUAUUCGCAAAAUACGGUAAAAGGCAAAACAAUUAUAAAAUUGCUAUCCGCAAUAUGGUCGGGCCUCCUCCCAUUUGUACCCUAUUAUCCUUCUGCUCGUUCGCGAUAUCCAUUAACCCGACAAUCGGGUAAUCUUUCGGGCGUUUCCGUGGUUGCCGGGUAUAUUAUUCCCCCAAACGUACCUUAUAUUGCGAUAUUAAAUAUUAUAUAUUACCUACCGUAAAAUCCUUUUUUACGUAUUUGUUCCAAAAAGAAAUAAUAAUGCGUUUUGGUAAUAUUUAUUACCGUAUUAAACAUUUUGGCCGCGCUACUAUUUUUUAUAUAUAUUACGGUAAAAACGGCAAAUAUAUUACUUUUUACCAAAGGUAUUGGAAUAAACGCGCGUUCCAAUUUAUAACUACCAAUUACAAUAUUUAUAUAUAAUAUAAUAGGUCGAAUGGCCCGUUAUUAUAUUUGGAUUAGUGGAAUAAAAGGGCGCAUUACGGGAUUUAAAUUAUUAUAAACAAUCCUCCUAUUGCUCCGUUUUGGAUUUUUUUUUUGGGGGAAAAUAAUAAUUAUAUAUUAACUUUCUUUAUAUAUAAUUAUAAUACCAAUAUUAUAAAAGGCCAAUGGAAAUACCUGUUGCGAUUCGCCGUAUUGCGCGUACAUUUUUUAAUAACCCAAUAUAUAUAGGGGGGACGGGGAACGGCUAAAAUUUAUACGCCCGUUUUUUUACAAAAUCGCGUUUGGUUCGACAAUUCGGUCCUCGACCUCGCGUUAUUUACGUGCGUUUUGGUGGUUAUAAUAUUUAUUAUUUGGUUCGUUAUUUUUUAUUCCGCCGUUUUGCGGCCUGGGUAUAUAUUUGGUUAUCCGGUUGCGAAAAGGCGUUUAUAUUUACGUCCCCGUAUUUUAACGCCCGUUUUUAUUAAAUAUAGGAAUUGUAAUUUCUUAGCCCGCGUUCGUGGAUUUUCGGAAAUUUAUUUAGGAAAUAAUCGCCAUAUUAUUCGAACCAUGCGCGGGAUUGUAAAACAGGAAAAUAUUCCAGCAUAUUAUUUUUCGACCAAACGCGAUUAUAAAAAUGGACAAACGUUUUGGCGAAAAUGGUAAUUUCUUUGCGUGGUAACGUUAUUUGGGAAGGUAAAUUAUAUAAUUUUCGCGGGUUUGGGAAAAAUAUAAUUGUUACAAAAUAAAUAUCCCAUUUGUCCAAUUAUUCCAAUAUAAAAGUUUUUUUGGUAUAUUUUUUCGGCGUUUUAUAUAUUUGUUUUUUCGGAGGUAAAAUGGGUAAAACCCCGAUCUUAUAAUAGUAAACGUUGCAGCAAUUUUAACGGUGGUUAAUUAUAACAAAUCGAUUCGGUUUUUAUAAAAAAUUUAAAAUGGCGCGCCGAAAAUAAAUAACGUUGGCGAAAUUAUAUAUAUUUGGUAUUUAUUCCUUCAAAUUUUUUUUAUU
This 4287-nucleotide small RNA is filed under the name Pyricularia oryzae. RNAcentral describes it as "Magnaporthe oryzae sRNA M_BR32_EuGene_00086441". Lineage: Eukaryota; Fungi; Ascomycota; Sordariomycetes; Magnaporthales; Pyriculariaceae. The record is from RNAcentral.